RNAcentral lists this long non-coding RNA (2178 nucleotides) under Glycine max (soybean). RNAcentral's name for it is "long non-coding RNA (GMAX_LNC002846)". Lineage: Eukaryota; Viridiplantae; Streptophyta; Magnoliopsida; Fabales; Fabaceae. The record is from RNAcentral.
CCUUUUAAUAUCAAUUAGGGUUUGUUGUAACUGAUAGCUAGGGAUUGUGGUGCCAACAUAAUUGGAAUCCUUUCUCUUUAAUAUGAUGCUUUUGCAAGCCUUUUUUUUAAUAAAAAAAUAAAUAUAAUUUUUGGAAUUAUCCUAAACACAUCCUUAAAAUUAAGAGGAAAAUUUAAAAUUAUUAUUAAGGAAUCUAUAUAUCGUGCGUGAUUCCAAAGGUAGGCUGUCAUCCCCGUAUAUUGUUCUAGCUACGGACUAGGGAUAGAACAUCGCAUGUAGCUGACUUUCCAGGUGCCAUUGUUUAGCAGCUCCUAUAUAAUGGAGCCAGGAGGGGUUCAAACGGACAUAGAUGCAAUAUACCUAAGAGCCACAGUAUUCACUAUAAAUCCUUUAUUUAAUUAAUUACUGUGAUCAUACACAGUAAAAAGAUUAAAUUAAAAAGCAACACUUAAAUGAUUUCUGUUUCAAAAAGAUAACAAAUAUACUUAUGUUAUAAAAGAAAGUUUAAUGUUUAUGCAUUAAUUGUAAUUUAUUGUAUAAAUUACUUUAAGAUAAUUAUUUUAAAAAGUUAUUAUACAUCAUGAAUUAAUUCAAUGUCAUUAAUAUUAUUGAGUUUGGAUCGAAUUCAAAUAACUAAAGAAAUAAAAAUUAGUAUAGACUAAAUUAUCAUAAAAAUAGAGAUUUAGAUAAACCCGAUCAAACACGUACCCCGACUCUUUGAUAUGUCAAUUUCAAAACCCUCAUAUACUAUAUUACUAUUCAUGAUGACACCUAUUGAUAAUUAGCUAAUUAAAGGAAAAGAAAAACACCAAUCUUGAUACGAAUCUUUGCAAAUUGAUCUUUAUCCAUUAGUUUUGGAUUCACGGGAGACACGAGGGCAUUUCAUUCAUAUUUGGAGAGAUUAAUUAAUCAUCAUCUUCAUGAUAUAUAAACUCACCCAUAUAAAUAUAAUAAAGAGCUAGAUGAUCAUUGCUCCACAGGAUACAGCUCAGCUCAUGAAAAAUUCUUAAUUUAUAGUAUAUGCUUAUGCAGAUCUAAACUUUGAGGGGAGGGGUAUACUUUCUAAGAAAAUUAAUUAAUGCAUGAAACUUAGGGAAUAAAUAAAAUUAACCACUUUUAAUUCAAUAAUCAAUAUAUCAGAGAUUUCCUCUUCCCAUUGGCUCUACAAAUUUAAUAACAAUAUUUAUGCGCUUGUGCUCAGGGGAGAAAGCUUGCUCAAUUACACUGCAUAUCUUAUUCAUACCUUCACUGCUCGAGAGAGCAUGAUAAAAGAAAAGAUUAACGUACAUGAAUUGGGAAAUAGAUAUCUGUAGCCUUUAUUCUAAUCUGAAUAGAAUCUUCUUUAAAUUAGUUGUUCAUUCUAAAUUAAUUAAUCCCUUUCCCUAUUUUGCUUCACACACACACACACACACACAUAUAUAUAUAUAUAUAUAUAUAUAUAUAUAUAUAUAUAUAAAUGUCAAGGUAUGGUGGUAAAAUUUAAGGAGGAAAUAUAUAGUCUGAAUUCAUGAACUUAUAAGAAAAAGAAAUUAAAACCCAUAUAUCCACUAUAUAUAAAUUAAGACAAUUGAACAAUCAACAAUUACUAUUAUCAAUAUCCUCUACUGAGAGAUAAUUUGAUUGGAGUAAGAUCAUUAUGAAUUAUAAAAAAAAUUCUUUAAGUACUUAACACAAUUAUACAUAUCUACUUAAAAACAACUAUACAUAUCAAGUACUCCAACUCAUAAUGAUUAAGCACUGGGAGUGACUUGAAGAACCUCAAUACCUUAUAUCAGUUAAUCUAAGCAGUUGAUGAUAAAUUAACUUGCAUGUGAUCACGCCUAUCCGUAUUUGCAUUCUUGUUUGGUUGCAUAAAUUAAGCCAUCCGGCCUGCUUGUUAUUUUGUGUGUGAAUUGACUGAAACCUUUGGCAGACAAAUUAAAACACAAGGAAUUAAAAUGCAAGAGGUUCUUAUACCUUGGCUAUAACUCAGACAAGUUGGGAAGUGGAAGCUACGUAUAAUUGAACAGAAGCCCAGGAAAGAUGACAACUACUGCUAAUUCAAGUUUGCUAUGCAGCUAUACCUAUAACAGACAGGAGUCCCUAAACUUUCUUCUAUAAACACUUUUCUCUAUCUCCCAUGCAUGCUUCUAUUUCUUAAAUAGAAAGCCCAUAUUUAUAGGAAAAAAAGGUUCUAUU